This is a long non-coding RNA of Parus major (Great Tit), 1799 nucleotides long. RefSeq lists it as uncharacterized. The transcript is spliced from 2 exons. The record is from RefSeq and is a predicted model, not a curated record. Lineage: Eukaryota; Metazoa; Chordata; Aves; Passeriformes; Paridae.
CGUGCACCGCCGCCAUGACGGGCAGUCCCCCCCCUGCAGCCUCCCCCGCCCCGGAGUUUUCGGGGUCCCCCCGGCUUCAAAGCGCUGGGAAAAAGCACAGUGAUUGUUGAUAUAAUUGUCACCAAAUCCCGCCUUGGACGUGAUGAGGAAAAUGCGAUGGUAAGAGGAAAAAAAGCAAACAAACAACGUGUCCCCGACCGACAGCUCAUGCACUGAUCACACCUGCAGAGACAGAAAUGUUAAGAGGGUUCUGUUCUACCGCCCACUGCAAGAAGGAUGUGAAAAUUGCAACAGAAUAAGAUGUGCCUUCCGCCGAAACGCAGUGAAAUGAAACUUCAAGAAGGAAAAAGUGAUGCUGCUGUCUUUCGACUGAGAAUAGUCAAUGACAAAUUAUUAUUGGAGAUAAAACCUAUAUACAUCUCAGUUGUCUGAUGCCUCAGAAACCAAAGCCAGGCAUUUGUACAAUGGAAAUUCCCUAUUUUACUUGAAAUGAUAACUAUAUGCUGCAUAAAUGAAAAAGCACCUGACAUUUUCUAUGUGGUUUAUUUUAGCAGUAGAGUACUUCUGCAGCACAUGGGGGUACAAGGUUCUAUACUGCUGUUCUUUAUAACAACAACGAUAAUGUAUUUUUCAGAAGGUGUUUAAUGAAGAGACCAGGACUCCUCAUGCAUCAUAAUUGUAUAGAAGUGCGAAACAACAAUUUGAAUCCAGUCGUAAGGCAGAAAUUUCCUUUCAUGGAGCCUACUGCACUGAUUGAAAACACUGCCUGUACAUGGCAUGUUAGGUCUCAGGCCAUCAGACUGUGUUGACUCUCACAGUAAACACUGGAGGAAAUCAAGUCAUCCAGACUAUUGUGAUUGUUAGAUGCUAAUGUCUGGUGAAAUGAAGCAUGCAGAUAAAGCUAACAGAUCUAAUUUAGCUACUCCAUCAGGAAUUACAAGACUCUCCCAGCUCCACAAGUUAGAAAUAGCCUGCACGUUGCUCAAUGGUGACUUUAAAUUUCUCCAGGAGAAAAAUCUCCAUCUCCUCUGCUUCAUUAUGUUGUUUUGUAUACAUUACUUACAGUCAUCGUUUACUUAACUCCUGUCAAUACCCACAUCAAUUUAGAGAGCAUAUAAAAAAAUAUAAAUAAAAAGUUUGUGGUCACACACAGACGUGAGCUGCUGGGUCUGCACUGAGGUUAAACUGGACAUUAAUCCUCCAGUGUAAAAUUUAAGGAGUGCCAGUAGAGAUCAACAAUUGUAAAGCAGGUAAAAUCUUCUCUGCGAUUCCUCCACAAUUCCUCUGCAAUUCCUCCUACUGAAACAGCAGGGGUUACUUGGGCAGACAAGCCAUGAGGUCUCAUUUUUGUGAGGAGACAACUGGUGCUUAGGAAAGGUGUGGGAAAAGCCCAGGAAAGAACCAGCCCCAAAAUUUACUACAGCCUGUGGGUGCUUUAGAUACGCAGUGUUACACAUUCAGCACAGCUGAGUCAUACUGGACUUCAUACAGUUAAAAUAUUGGUUCUUUAUAGCUCUCAGUGCCACGUGGAAGCUUUGUCACUUGGCUGGAUGCUGACACACUCCCAGGAGCCACACAGCAAAACAAGAGCUGAUAUUUGCAUGGUUGCCUUUGUGAUCCCCAGGCAUUCUGAACACAGAAAGAAAAUACUCUUCAGGAUCACAACUUGUGCCUGGUUUUCUGUUGUGCUGAGCAGCAGACAGCUGGUAUCCUGUUUGUACAAUAAACACAACUCAUGGAUGUGGUAAAAUCUGGAUUUUGUCAGAUUUCCACUUGUCACGAGGACAAGUAGCAUCUGC